RNAcentral lists this ribosomal RNA (253 nucleotides) under uncultured bacterium. Its description in RNAcentral is "partial 16S ribosomal RNA". It matches the Rfam family "Bacterial small subunit ribosomal RNA", at positions 524 to 776 of the family's 1533-position model. The record is from RNAcentral.
UACGGAGGGUGCAAGCGUUAUUCGGAUUUACUGGGCGUAAAGGGCGCGUAGGCGGUCGUAUAAGUCAGAUGUGAAAGCCCGGGGCUCAACCCCGGAAGUGCAUUUGAUACUGUAAGACUUGAUUAUGGGAGAAGGAAGUGGAAUUCCUGGUGUAGAGGUGAAAUUCGUAGAUAUCAGGAGGAACACCGGUGGCGAAGGCGACUUCCUGGACCAAUACUGACGCUGAGGCGCGAAGGCGUUGGUAGCAAACAUG